AGGAUGAACGCUGGCGGCGUGCUUAACACAUGCAAGUCGAACGUGAAGGUGGAGCAAUCCAUCUGAAAGUGGCGGACGGGUGAGUAACACGUGGGUGACCUACCUUGUAGUGGGGGAUAACCAUGGGAAACUGUGGCUAAUACCGCAUGGUCUUGAUAAGGGUGGACUUUAUCAGGUAAAGCUUUAGUGCUACGAGAGGGGCCUGCGGUCGAUUAGGUCGUUGGUGAGGUAAUGGGCUCACCAAGCCGAUGAUCGAUAGCUGGUCUGAGAGGACGAUCAGCCACACGGGACUGGAGAGACGGUCCGACUCCGUACGGGGGCAGCAGUGAGGAAUAGUGGGACAAUGGGACGCAACGGCCUGACCACGCAACGCGCGUGGAGGAUGGAAGGUC
This 392-nucleotide ribosomal RNA is filed under the name uncultured soil bacterium. RNAcentral describes it as "bacterial SSU rRNA". It matches the Rfam family "Bacterial small subunit ribosomal RNA", at positions 26 to 417 of the family's 1533-position model. The record is from RNAcentral.